This is a long non-coding RNA of Apis cerana (Asiatic honeybee), 14784 nucleotides long. RefSeq lists it as uncharacterized. NCBI's taxonomy places the organism in Eukaryota, Metazoa, Arthropoda, Insecta, Hymenoptera, Apidae. The record is from RefSeq and is a predicted model, not a curated record.
GCCAUAUUGAAAGAAAGACUAGUUUUAUCCACUAAAAUGAAUACCAUUCCAUCUGGUGACAUUGUCACGAAACUAUAAUAUAAUAAUUAACCAAUCAGAUAUUUCUUUCUGCUCACGACGAACGAAUUACAAAUCUCCUUUCAUCUAACAUUUGACUUCAAGAAACGACAUCAAAAUGGUGCAGUGAAAAAGAAAACGGUGAAGUGUGAGUUUCUGUAAAAAAAUUAUUCUUUUGAACGAGAUUUUCGCAGUUAUUUUAAAGUUUCUUGUUCACAGUAUUGAAUUGCUGAAGAUCCAAGACAUUUCUAAAUGUUCGUUGAAAAAUGUGACUUGGGAAUUGUGGAAAUACUUCGUGAAAAGAAAAAUCCUUCAAGAUUUUGAAUUUCUAUCGGAAAUGAAAAUGAAUAUGGACGAGUGUAAGAAAAAGAACAAGUUACAAAAGGACAAUUAUAAUAUUAUAAUGGUUAUAUAAAUUGUUGGGGACUAAUAAAGCAAGAAAGAAUUGGUCGACAUCGAGGUUAUGUUCGAGAGUUAACAAGGUGGGUUUACGUAACGCGGACGUAAUAAGUUAUUAUUCAACCCCGUUCGUUGGAAAAAACAAGCCUGCGUAAACUGGAAAACGAAUCGAAGUCGAAGUGUUUCGGUAAGUAGUGGCCGGUUGGCUAGGGAGAAGAGGCAAACGAGAUGCACAUCCAUCAGAGGCAGGGAGGAAAUGGCGAGGGUGUAGGCGAUCCUUUAGAAGCAACAGCUUUCGUUGCUUUGCAAGCUCGGAGGUCUUCCACGAAAAACAAACCAACGUUAAUCGACGAAUGUAAACACGAGCGGAGGACAAAUCGAGAAUUAAGCGUCAUUUGGUUGUAAGAAACCAAAGCGGGCAGACGUAGAAACAAUCUCGUGCGAUAAUUCGAUUUUCAACGGCCGUAUCAGAGGCUUCCGGCACGCUGGACGCCGCGAACCCGGACCCUGCUGCACUGGAUAACCUUUUCGUGGGAGAAAUUACGAUCCUCAACCUCGUGGCAACCGGGUGAUCGUGAUUUAAUUACGGAUGCCCUGGAUGGGCGUUAAAAGAGACCUUUCCUCUUUCACUUUAACGAGACGCCUCGUCCACGUGAGAGAAGUUGGGAAGAUUGGCAUCGCCCAGAGAAAUCUCGUUUCACGUGCACCCUUUCACGCAGCCGGUAUUCAAGAACGCGGAUAACCGUGGAAAGGUAGGCGAGAUUAAGGUGGAACGAGAUUGUCCAAGUUUGUCGUUGCUUGGAAAAUCAUUGUGAGUAAAAAAGAGGGGUGAGUAAAAAUAAUUGGUAAUUUUAUUUUUUAAAUUAAUGCUUUCAGAUUCUCUGAUUUAUUAGCAUUUUUCCGUGAAAUAUUUGAAUAUAUUUUGAUAAGUUUCGAACGAUACUAAAAGAUAAGAAAUUCUAGAAAGAAAGGAAUUCGAGCUCUGGAAACGUUGCGAAAGAAAAUAGUAUUCCGUUAAAAAUAAGAUUAUUAAUCUCGAUAGGAAUUUAUUAUAUGAUUCCUAUAUCAACAAUUGACUUUUUGUAUCUUGUUAGAAACGAUUUUCCUAUUCAGCCUUGGAACAAUUCUAAUAAUUUCGUACACACCUUUGUAAUAACACAAUGUUUUCACGUCAUACACGACAAGGAAAACGCAAAAUAUAUUUUCUCUUUGAUACUCGUCAUUGUCAGAGAGAAACAUUUCCUUCCGAGAAGGAAAUUUAAAUUCUUGAUAACUUCAACUUGAUUACUCGUUGAAAUAUUUAUAUAUAAGUCUUUGAAACAUAGAUUACGUAGACCAUCGCGCUUUGUAAGGCUAUACACCAUUGUGAAAUAUUCAAAUGACAGUUUUUUUUUGUUUUCAUGGAUGAAAAGAACAGAGUUUCUGGUAAGACUGGAUUAAAAAAGUGACUUGUAUAUUUUUACGUAUCGUUCGGGUAUUAUAAAAUACAAAGAUGUUGAUUAUUAAAUGAAUUGAUGUUUUAAUUAUUCUUACGAAAUAAGCUACACGUAGCUUAUCGUAAAUCUCAGCUCAACUAAAACAUAUCAAGUUUUAUAAACUGUACGCAAACGGAUAUUAUAAAUAUCAUAUUUAAAAGAUAAAUUAUAUUUUAAAAAAUAUUUCGGCAAAUCAUUUCAAUUUUCACACUCGCAAAAAGAAUACAGAAAUAGAAUAAAACGAUUGAAACGCGCAUUGAAAGCGCUCUUCCUAAAAUUGUUCAACGAAACAAAUAUUCAAAAUAUGAAGGAAAUUGUUCAGACGACAUAAUGGCGCAUUGAUUCGAUGAAUGGGUGGUGGAAAACCGGUGCUCGCGCAAUUUAUGUCCAGCGAAGAAGGAAUUUCCGAAAAUUCCAUUAACCAUUUAAUUCCAUGCAAAGUGAACAUUAAAACGCGGACUAAAUUCCUUUCGGCAAACAGACGAGCAACCUCUUUUCCCUAAAACCGUAAUCACGUUUAUACUGCCGUGAUCGUUCGCCUCGCGUCUAAAACGAAUUCUCUUGCCAAGUUUCUUUUUUUCUCUCUCUCAUUUUUCCUUUCUUUUUUCUUUCUCUUCUCCUCUUCCUCCUUCUUCUUCUUCCUCUUCUUCUCGUUCUUUUUUCAUCUCGGAACGCAUGCAAAUUAAUCGCAUUAUCGAUGAAGGAACAAACGAGCACGUUGUUCCUUCUCUCUGUUUUCCGAAAACACAUGGAGAAAUUGAAAAUUCUGCCAAUGUUAUAGGUAACAUAAAGAAAGGUUAUAAACUGGAAUCCAAGAUAAUUUAUGGAAAAGGCAUUCCGCCAAGAUUUAAGGGUGAGUUUCCUGUUGCACUUGUAAAUCUUCUUACGUGUUAUAUUGUUUUACUUGAACUUGGAUCGAUCUGAUUUAUGGGAAAACAUUUUCUGAAAAUAUCAAAAUUAAUAUUUAGAGAUUCUUAUUUUAAGCGUGUAAAUUUUUGUAUUUAUAUCAUUCCCUUGUAACUAUCAUUAUGUAAAGAAAAUUGUUUCGAUUAAAAAUUAAUGGUUUCGAGAAGAGUAAUAUGAUUAUUGUUCGAAUAUAUAGAAAUCUGUGUGAUUAAAUUUUUUUUGGAAUGCAAUCACACGAUUUUAUAUACGUUAUUUUACCAUUUUCCUCUCGUACAUAUAUAUGGGACAUCGUACAUUGAACAAUGAUUGGAAUUGAAACUUAAUUUUACGUUAAAAUUUAAUAAAUACUAAUUAAUAAUAAUAAACACUAACUAAUGAGAUCGUAAAGAUCGAUCGUGCAAUAUCAAAGUAGUAUAUAUCAAUCAUAUUGUCAAUCAGAGAGUAGUAUAGAUCGACUAUAAUAUACUUUUAAAUCCUGUAAUAUUAAAAAUUCAAUAAAAGAUGGCAGCUGUUAUCGUAAGAAGUAAAUAAUGCAAAAGAUAAGUGUCUUGUAAAAUCUAGAAUAUAUCGUCAAAGAAACGAUUGAAAAAAGUGGUGUAUAUAAUAUUUUGUUCAAAUUGAUCACUUGCAAAACUUCCAGAAUACAGGUAUUAAGUUAUUAGUAAAAGAGUUUUUGUAAGAUAAUCGUUAUUCCUUUGCAAAGUUAUUAAAAUAUAAAUCUAUUCUAAGAUCAACAAAUAUCAAGAGGAAAAAAUAUCAAAGAUGAAAUUGGUUAAAUUACACGAUAUUCGAUAAUUCAACGUCUGAGCUCGAGGCAAAAUUUCUACGAUCCCAAAAGCUGCUCUUUUGCCUUUUAACAAUCGUUCUUUCCAUUCUUCCUCCUUCAUCCCUCUUGUCAUAAGAUUUAAUUUCAUCCUGUGUUGCUUUUUCUUUUCGUUUUUAACGACCAGACGAUACUCAUUAGAAAACAUUUUAGUUUUUACCUCGGUGCAUGCAAAUUUUCUUUUAUUUUUAAUAUCAAAAUUUCUUUUAUUCCUUUUCUAUUUUUUUCUUUCUGUCUUUCUUUCUCUUUCUCUCUCUCUCUCUCUUUUUUUAACAGAAAUUCUACGAACCAAAGAACAAGUCUCAUCGUUGGUCUGAUGGGAUUAAGUAUAGUGGAAGUGGAUUCGAACAUUGACAAAUUCGUAUUCGAAUCUUCUGUGACUUAAAUUAAUUAAUUAAUUUAAGUUAUUCGGAAAUUCUGUUUAUUGCCAAUAAUUCUUUGCAAUUUUCUUGAAUUUGUUGUAAGAACAACAAAUGUAUUUAUCUCUUACAAUUACUUGUUAUAAGAAAUUCGAUUCAUUCUGGUGUCAAGGUACUUUAAAUUUUCAAAACUGAUGAAUAUUGGAACUCGUUCCGAGUGUUUUACAAAUAUUAGAAGAAAACCAUUAUUUCUUAGCAAUGGGAAUCAAAUAAAUAUUUCAUAUUUAUUACUUGGAUUUAUAUUCAACUUGCUCCUCGAAUAAGAACGAAAAAAGUGAAGGAAAAAAAUACACGAGAAUGGAGAACAGUUGACGAAACGAAAGAAAAAAAAAAGAAAGAAAAAAAAGGAAGAAAGAAAAGAAAAAAAGACAGGAAUCACAACUUGAACAUCGAAUGACUGGAAGUUGAAAAAGGAGGACAAAAAGCUGUAUAGCCCUUUCAACGUAUCGUUCCACGAUCCCGACGUCGAAAGCCUUUGCACGAUCGUUUUUCCCGCGUUUUUUCCCGCUCUCUCAUUCCUUCUACUUUCUUCGACCCCGUAUUACUCUUGUUUCCAGCAUUAAUUUCUCUCUCGCUCGCUUCUCUCGACUAACUUUUGUUUCUAUCUAAUAGAUGCCAUCUAAGGAUAAAAGCUAUUAUCGAUACAGAAAAAUAUGUGAGCGCAGAUCGGUGAAGCGAAAAUCAAAUAGUAAUAAAAUCGAUAAUAACAAAAUUGCAUUGGAAGAGUUUGUCGAGUAUAAGUAGAACUGUUAACUUGUAUUUAUAUAAAAGAUAGUAAGAAUUUUUACACUAAUAAAUAAAUUAAGAUGAGAAAUAAACGAAAGGGCACUUCGAUUUUCGAUUACGUGGUUCACUUCGUGAAGAAUAGACUUGCAUGAUCGUGAAGAGAAUCCUCCAAGAUUAAUUAUUGCGGCGACCAGUCACGAUAUAUUCACGGAUCGUGAGAAAAAUCGGCGCUUGAAUUUUGAGAGAAAAAUCGUGCCCACGUCUCGACUCGAUUUUCUCCACACGGAGGCGUUUCCACCGAACGGGCCUGUUUUCACGAACACGAUAAAGAUCUUCGAUAGUUGGGCCCAUUACCUGUACACUUUGUGAAAGAGUGACAUAACGCAAGGAGAAGGAAACCGGCUGAAUCGAAUGUGGGAGUAAUCCUUGCGCCGUGUAGGCCGAUCCCAAUUUCGUUCCUUUAAUCGAGUCACGUGGCAUCGAUGCCCGUUCCUCAACUUUUAUACAUUUCUUCAAUCCUCUAAUGUAUCUUCGCUUUUAAAGGAAGAUCGAAGAAUUUAUCGUUUAUUUACCUUGUGGGAUGAAAGUAAUUACAUUGGAAAUUUCCAACAACGUAAUUACUCGUUAGGUUUGAUACUGUGAAAGAUAGGUUACUUAAAAGAAAAAAGGACAGGAUUCUUUCUCUUCCUUAAAUAUUCUUUUACGAGAAAUUUCUUAAAAAGUACGAUCUCAACUUUCUACUUGUUGCUAUUUUCUUUAGAAAAGGAAAAACAAUGCUCGCUUCCUCCUCAAAACGCCCCCAAUUAGAACAACCAUGCAUCGAUCGUACUGUAUAAGCUUGAUACGAGAUAACGAGGAAACAUUGUUUUCACAGAUUUAAACCGACACGGUUUAAAUAGAAAUCGGCGAUCCGGAAUGGAUAUCGGGGAGCGGCCAUGGUCAAACGGGUGUAAUAACGUUUAAACAAAUUCCGCGGUCCGGUCAAUAAUCAAUUUGUCAGGCGCAUCGAUGAAUCCGGCCAAUCCUCUCCCUUUUUCCUUGGCGCGCUUGUACGUGCGUGCGUGUGCGGGGGGAGGGGAGAGAGGGCUAUCGACAACCGCAAAAUCGCACGCGCGUCGCCGCCAAUCGGAUUUCGCGGUGGCCGCCCGUAUUAUUUGCAUAUCGGUUCCAGCGUUGGAAACAACGAGGCCGCCGACGGUGUUGCAUCGACGAGAUUGUGACGCGGAGAGAAGGAAAGGAACGAUGAAUAAAAUGAAUGUGGAGCACGGGGAAAUAAAGCAGUGUGUGGAAGCGCCGGUUUGGGGGAGGGAUUAGAAGGAGGGGGGGAUUUACGAUACGUUGGGACGGUGACUUUUUUUUCGCCGAGUAUCAAUUUGCAUAAUGCGUGUGCACUUCGGCCGAUUAAUGCGAGACGUGGCUCGAAUAUUUUUUUUUUUUUCGAACGUUAAUUCGAAUGUUCGUCGCGGGUGCUUUUAUGCUCGAUUAAUUUCGGCUAAUAGAGCGGAGUGGAAAAAUUCAGGUGAUUAUUAUUUUCUCGGGAUCGAUUUUGUGCUUGGGUUUGAUCGUGUUCUUUCAGGUUUAGUGGAGCAAGGCGAAAGAUGAAGCUUAAUAUUGUGUAAAGAGAUGAAUUAAAGUAGCAAGGAGUAGUAAAUUGGUGAUAUUACUGAGAAAGAUUGAUCGAAGAGGAUGAUUUUAUGAAAAUUUUCCUGCAAAACAAAUGGAACAAAUGGUUUAUGCGCAUAUAAAGAUUGUUUUACAAUUUUCCUCGAAAUAUCUUUUUGCACCGUUUAUCAGCGUGAAACAAAUAAAGUAGGAAUAAAAUAAUAGCAACGAAUUUCACGGUUCAUAGAAACUAUUUUCUAUCUACCCAAAAAUGUAUUACAUCCCUUUCUCUUCAAAGAAUAUAUUCCAUGGAGUAUAAAUCGAUUUUCCAGAACUUUGAUCACAUCAGCAGAAAAACAAGCCAGCCAUCAAUGUCGAUGAAUUUUCACUCGUAAAAAAUUGUACGCCCACCCUGCAGAGAGCUGCAAUUACUUCCACAUACGUUUAUUUUUUCACCCACUCUCGGAAUAAACGUUCAAAGAAAACGUAACUGACUUUCAAAACUCGGCGAUUCAUUGUUACAACUGCAUAUAAUGUUUCCCCGAUGUUUUUUGAGGUAUGACUCUCUUAUAACAAACUUACUUUUUUAUUUAUAAUUUAUAUCAUAAUUUAAAAUUUAUCUCUCGUUAUUAAAAACUUCAAGAAUCAAUUUCCCCCCCCUCAAAAUCGUUACAAUUAAAAUCUUUUUCUUUUCAACGAUUCCACGAAAUAUGUUAAAAAUUAUUGCAUCUCUCGUAUCCUUCUCGGCCAGAUUCGAUUUGAUUCGAUCGAAGACAGGACAUUGCCCGUUGCAAUUUUCCUGAUACCCAAGUCUUUAUUUGAGUUACGAGAUACCGAUACCUGGCAAAAUGCCGUCUCGUCACGACAGGAAGAAGUCACUUUGCCGACUUUCCGCUCCGUGUCUAAUAGACCGUUUGACGCGUACACAUCGUAUAAAGCAAUCGGCGGUAUCACGUGAAAGUCGGUGGAGUAGCGACGGUAAUGUAUAGCCCGAUGUUUGAUUAAUGAACGUGCCGUAAAUUGAUAUCUCGACACGUACGAGCGGCUAUUUUCACUAAACAUUUAGUUGAACAUUUAUUUCACUUUGUUAUCGGUGUAAUUUUAUCGUGAUCGGUUUCUUAACGAUUCGACGGUUGGUCUCGGUUUUUAUCCUUUCUUUCUUUUUCUUUUCUUUUUUUCCUGUUAUUAAGUAUAACGAGUUAAACAUGAGUUAAGCAUGAUGUAUGUGGUGAUGCCGUGUAACGGGUGGAAAUCUAUUUCAUUCCUACGUAUCGAGAAAUUAUUUUUUUAUUAAUCGUAAAAAUGGUAUAAUAAUUUUGAAUUGCGUGUUGGUUAUUCUAAAUUUCAUUUUGAUAAAAAUUAAUUUUUAUUUGUCACGUCGAUAACGUGAGAAUCGAUAUUUAGAUGUCUAUCAAGUUUUUCCAACAAAUGAAAAAUUAGUUUUAGGAGAGAUCGUAUCUAUAUGCAUACUACAGUAGAAACAAAUUUUCCUUUCCGUUGCGCGAAUUCCAUUCUUUAAUUUUUCAUCUGAUGUGAAAAUACAAAUUUAAUUUCUAUGUGUAUGCAUAUUUGUUUUCAAUAUUUAUAUUCGUUCUCGUCGUAUCUCUAUACAUUUUGUAAUCUUAUCUUGGAAUAAAACGAGUUCAAUUGCUUGAUGUCGAGAUUCAAUAUUAUUCAGGAUAGUUAUAGUUACAGAACGAAAAGGUAAUGCCACGUUCCUAAGGUGUUCAUACUGCAGAUUAAACUGCCGAUCUCCUUUUAAUCUUACAGUUAACGAUUUAUUGGUUUUCCAUAUAAUAAAAUAUCUAACUUUAAAUGCCCUGUAAAUUGAAAAUUUUAUGAAAUCGUUAUAAAAUUUGCAUUAUUUCAAAAACGAAAAAAAAAAAAAAAGAAGAAGAACGACGUGUCGUAAUUGAAAACAUCAGACUACCAUAACAGCGUAUAAAAAUCCUGAAAAGAAAUAUAAAUUUGAGAGAACGCUAUAUGAAACUCUUAAAAAUAUAACCAAGUGAAUGCAUAAUCGGAGUAAAUGGACGACGGAGAAAUAUUUCGAGACGCUUUAUUUUAUUAAAUUUUAUUAAAGCGUUCCAAAAUAUUUUAUCAUUUUUUUCUUUUCUUUUUUUUUUUUUCACGCAUCUAUUUGCGAAAAACAUCGAUUUUAUCGAAAUUUUUAGCCCGCAUGGCAUAUUUAAAGUGCGGUAUACGCGCAAAUAUCGUUACGCUAAAAGUAACUUUUCCGAUAGAUCGAAAUUUCCAUUAAAUAUUCAUGGGGCUUUAUACGCGGCCCAGUAAUUGAAACUUCACAUAAUCGGGAAAUGUCGCCGUCCUUGUAGUUAAAUAAAUUUAGCACCAAAUCGAAUAACGAGGAAGAGGUGGAUUUUCGUUGAUAGGAAAUUUAGUUUUUGGCAAAAUUUUAUUCAACGAAUUCGUUGGAAAAAACGAAAGCGUUGAAUUAUUUCUGAUUUUUUUUUUACACUCGAUAUUUAAAUAAUCCAUAAUAAUCUUGGUAUCUAUCUGUUCUAGAUGAGAGAGAGGAAAUUGACAAUAUUGAUCUUAAAAAUGGUAAAAAAAUUGCCCUGUCUAAGGUACAACGAUAUAAUAAUUCAUCAAUCCAGCAAGGAAAAUGUGUUAAAUAGACCUUGUUCGAAUUAAAGAUUCACAAAUCCUAAUAUUCUCGAAGAAGAUCAUUUCAAGAUAUGACAUUUUAAUCUCAUAAAAAUUGUACCUAAUUUUUCGCGACAUACGAGUUUCAUAAUAAUUUCGAAAUUUCUUUCGAUUUUCAGAAAUUUCGAGCUCGUUAUUAAUUACAGGUCUCGAGACAAGUCUCGCCAUAUAGAGCAUACUUGAGAUAUAAACAAACUUUCACAAAAAUCUCUCCCGUCAACACGUAUACCAGCAUCAUAUAUACAGGGUGAUACAUAUGAAGCUAGAAUCGUUUCGAGGAUCGAAACUGGUAUAACCAAAAGCUUAUUCAUCAAUUUUACAUUUAAUCCAAUUAUUAUAUUAUUUAUCAACUUUCCUCUCUCGGAAUCGUUCCCUGAAUCAAAAAAAAAUUUUGAACGUGCAUCACGAUCCCAUUAAACUUGUCCCUCCUUGGAGAUGCCAUCCUCUCCACGACGGCGUGGAAAAUAAAAGCGGAUGAAUCGGAUCGAGCUCGAUAAUCGCGGGCCAAUAAAGCUGUAGAGCCGCGUCGCAUGCCGCAAAGGAAUGUCGUUUCCGUGGGCCGUGAUCCGUGGGUUUCGUGGUCUGCUCCGGUUAUCGGCACGUGCAUCUGUGUAUUUCCGUCUGCCGUUUCGUCGACUCGUUUCAGAAGGAGGGGAGAAAAAGUCUGAAAAACCUGCGAGGCGGCUUUUGACGAAUUCGUGACGCCGAUUCAACGCUCGAUUCGGCGAACCAUUUUUCACGUUUCUAAUAUACAGUCGAGUUAUCCUGUUUACGCUCGUUCGAACAUUAAUUUCGAAUUUUAAUUUAAAUUUUCAGGGAAUUGAAGGAAAGUUUGAUUGUAUAAGGAGAACUUAGUAUUAGAUCGUUUUAAGAAUAAUUGAAGUUAAAAGGAAUUCAAUGUUCUUUCUUUUUGUGAAUCAUCUUUCGUGAAAAUCAUUUGGAAAUCUUGUUAAAUGUAUAAUUGGCUUUAAUAAAAUUGUUCCUCUUCGAAUUGCAUUGAAUAGUUCGAAAUAGCAUCUACAUUACAUAGAAAUAAUAUCAUUGAACUUUAUUAAGAAAUGAGAAAUAAAAUUUAUGAUCGAAUAUUUAUUGAUUUAAAAAAAAAUAGCAAUCUUUUUACAUAUACCACUUUUAUCAAAUGCUAUAAUAAUUUGAUGUAAAAAUUUAUCGAAUUUUGAAAUUAUUCCAAUCUUUAUCCGAUUAUUAAUUACGAGACAGAUGAAUCCUUAUCGUGUAUUCUUCGAAAAUGAUCGUAUUAUUUCAAUAUUAUUUUAAUAAUUCCUUUCAUACACUGAUCAAAAUCAACAAUGACGUAUUAAUCAAAAUCGGACGAAGAUUAGGGAAUUGAAUGAAAUCUCGAAACAGAUAUAUAGAACAUUAUAUAUAAAGGUGUUCACAUGAUACAAUGUUUUAUGGAGGCAGUAUGUAAUGCCAUGGUUCGUGAUGAUAUAUCGUGUAAAUACGGUGCACGAUAAAGUAUUACCGGAGGUGGGAUCAACCAGGCAUGGAACCGACGAUAAAAUAUUUGGCCGAUACUUGGUCGGUGCUGAAAUUUUUUCGUUGAUGGUAAUUGAUUACGCUUAAUCAAGCUAUCGAGCCCGUGCAAUUUGCAAUCUGCAAUUGUGCACCAACGUUGUGUACGGUAUGGUAAGUUGGUCGUUGGAUUAUAGUUAUUAACCUCUUUUUUUCCUUUUUAUACCGUCUAGUAUGAUUGAACCCGAUGAUGGAUAAAUUUAUUUACCAGUGUCUAGUGAUAUUAAUCGAUACACGAAACUUUUGAUUUAUGCGAUCAACGUUAUUAUUUUUACGUACUCUCCCCUACUCGCUGAAAUUAACAGUAAUAAAAUUAAAACCGAAUCUUUUAUUUCGUUUCUCUUCGUGUAGAAUCAUUUUUUUUUUUAGGGAUAAAUAAGAUUCUUUCUAGAUUUUCUUACCAGAUUUAAAUUUACGUAGGAUAUUCUUCAAAAAUGAUGAAUACACAUUAAUAAUUAUUCUUUGAAAUAAAUUUGAAUAUUCGAUUGAAAAGAUUUGUUCUUUCGAUAUUUACAGUUUUUAUUGUUGAAUAUCCUUAAUAUCAGAUAAUAAUUUGUAAUUAAUAUAAUCUAUUUCGAUUUUAAUCGGUCUGUCGUUACGAUACACAAAAAUGAAAUAAAAUGAGAAAUUUCGCGUGCAUCAUUUGUUUGUUGACAAUUUCGAGAAAAAAAAAAGAAGCUUAAACUUAAAUUUAAUUAAACAACUCGAAACGAUAUAUUAUUUAACAACGCGCGUAAAUUAUUUUUGCUCAUUCCCAUUAAGCUACGUAUCCACGUAUCCAGCCAACGUCUAAUUAUAGGCGUAUAGGAUUAAAUUAGGCAAGUUCCUACAACUGGCCGUGCACGAUAUUACCGAUCCUUAACAUAUAUGAGACGAAACGAUGAUCAAAAUAUAAUAUCGCCGUUUCUACGACGAGUUCGAGCUUAACACUUUUAAACGGGAGCAUAAAUUAGUCGUGUUAUUAGUGUCAUUAAGUUGUUUCGCGUUCCUGGAGUGGCGUUCCUGUGCCCCCUCUUCGAUGCCGCACAGCUACCAUUUCUCUUCGCCUCCGGUGCCGUAAAUAAAGGUGCUCGUCAGAAAAAGGGCCGGUUAUGCUCUCGAAACCGAAAGUGGCAAAGGAAGUGUCGAAUACAGAAGCUCCACUAUUCUUUUAUAACAGAGUUUUUAUAUAUAUAUAUAUAUAUAUAUAUAUAUAUAUAUAUAUAUAUAUAUAAAAUUGUGAAUAAUUUUUCGAUAACUUUUGUUUAAUUUUCAGAAGUGAAAGAUUGGGGUGUCUCGCGUAAGAUUAUUAUACGAUUUCACAAUUGAAGAAAUGAUUUGAAAUGAAAGUUGCAUGGUUUCAAGAAGAUUAUAUUUUAAAGUUAUUUAUUUUAUUAUACACGCAUCCAUAUAUGGAAGAAAUAAAUUACAUUACAUUCCAUGUAUCCCCUCGAAAUUCCAUUCUAUUUUUAUUCCGAAAUAAUCUUUUAACGUGUGAAGUAACAAAUGGGAUAUUCCAGAUGAUAAAGUUGAAACCAAUGAAAUUAAUUAAUAAUAUUGUUUUUUAAAAAAAUGUUUUACGAUUAACGAAUAUUUAUCAAUCUUCUCGUCGCAAAGGAAUUUUGAAUUGAUAUUUAUAAUAUAUAUGUAAAAUUUCAUUUAGCGGAUACAUCAAAUCGCAAAUAAAUUUCAAAUCGAAUUUUCUCACAUCGUAAACCUUUAUGCAUUCAAUCUACCAUUCUAAUGCUGUUAUAACAACAGCACAGAAAGAUUGAAUUGAAUAUUGCUAUAAAAGGAUUGAAACCUCAUACUUCGUUUCAUCCGACGUUUAGACUACGCAUAACUCUAAUACUUAUCUUUGAUGCGACAGCAAAAUAUCAUAACUAACGAUAGAAUCAGCUACGACGAUCGUUACGACACACACACACACACACACACAAACAAGCAUAGAGAAAGAGAGAGAAAUUCGCAGCAUAAUCACAGGAUCUCAUUCACAGUUUCAUUUUUCGCGAGGGAAUAAUUGUUAACAAACGCGUGGCUUCUCUUUUAAAUUAAUGUUUGUCAAACAAAUGUAUUCCACGUGGCCUCACCGAUCGCUCAAAAAGCUCGUUCGCAAACCACUUGCGCAUCCGUGGAUUCGAUCGUUUGCAAAGAGAAAAAAGGAAAAUCGAAGAAGGAGAAGAAGGAGAAGAAGAAAGAUUCGCCCCGACUCAAAGGAAACCGUUUUCUUUUUUCUUUUUUCGACUCUUCUCGAUCCCUCCUCUUUUUUUUCCCUCCCCCCUCGUUCCUUUUCUUUUCACACCUCGAACCGUGACAAGGGGAAAAUAAAAGAAGAGGAAGAAAAACUGUGGAACGAGGAGGUUCGAUCGGAUGGAGAAAUCUUUGAACCGCGUUUCAAAGCGGUAAAACGGACGGCGAAACGUCGGGGCGAGAAUCGAAUGGUAAAGGAGAAUCCAUAAAAAUGGAGUCCGAUUGACGGCGACCGCCAAGAAAGAAAGAAAUGUACCACGAAGAUGUUACGUCUGCCCGUAAAAAUUGGAGGAGAGGAAACGGGGGAGGGAGAGGCGAUAUUUCGAAUCAUGGUUGAAACUUGACGAGCGAGGUGGAAGUCGCGGAACACGUCCCUCUUCUAUUCAACCGGAUUUAUCCGUGAUGGGAUCUGAAACGGGAGAGAGUUGAACAAUAGAAAUGAUUUUUCCGGAAAAAAAAAGAAGAAGGAGGAGAAUCAACACCGCUUGUUUAUUCUUCUUCUCGUACGGAAGGUGGUUAAAAAUGGCUCUAUUAAUUCGAAGGAUGAUUUAACGAGACGACAGCAGUUGUCCACCACAAUCCUGUUGCCUCUCGCCCAACUCCUCCUGCGCUUUUCGACCCUCGUCCGCUAAUAGCAACAAGUUACUUGUGACCCGUCAGCGGGACAGACCCUUGCGACGCCUCUAUAUUUAGUCCGGGUCGAACCACUAGAGAACGGCGAGAAAACACAAAAGAAAGCUGGAGAGCGGCGGCGAAACGAGUGCAAAGGGGACAUCGUGAUAUCUCGCCACGAAGAUUCUGCGGCUUCUGGCUCGCAGCUGCUACCAUGUCGCGGUAAAAACAAUGUACAUAGAUAUGGCAGACGAGCUGAAAGGGCCGGCCUCGCCCUGCUGACGCGGCCAGUUUCAGGAUAUCCGCGAGAUCUUGGAUAAAUUCAACCGAAUUCUUUUGCUCCUCCGCGCAUCAGAAGAGGAAGGGAAACUUUUUCUCCUCGGAUCUCUGUAUUUUGAGAAAGAUUGUUGGAAUAGAUUUUAUUUGACAAUAUGAAAAUUGGGAAUACAGGGGAUAAUUCGUGUGAUAAAGUCGGAAGUAAAGUUAUUUGAUUGUAUAUUACGAGUAUUUUUAUAAUCUCACUAUUGCAAAGUAACAAAAUACGUGUUGAUAAAAUAUUUCGGAUGUAUUGAUACGUUAUGAUAUGAUUGAAAGUUAUGCAAGUUUUGUUGUUGUAUCAUGUUAUCGCCUUCGAAGGCUAAGAUGUUAUUUAAAAAGUUGUUUAAAAUUAUGGAAAUAAUUAACUUCAUAUGCUGGAUGAUAAAUUUCUGUAACCACGAAAUGAAAGCUUUAAUGAUAUUGUUGUAAGAAUAACUUGGGGAUCGCAAAAAUAGCUCUAAGAGCGGCUCUCGUGUCGUUGCAGUGUAUAUAACUGGCAAUUUGAUGUCGAUCCGGAGCAGUACUAUAUGCCGAGCUAUAUACCAUUACCAUAAUAUAGCAGCAAUGACUGAUGCGACGUUAUAUAUGAAUAUUAGAAAUGAAUAUUAACAUACAUGAUUUUCUUGUACAGAGUUACAGAAUAAACGUAAAAUUAUGAUAAGUAAGACUGAUAUCGAAUAUAUUAUAUAUAUAUAUAUAUAUAUAUAUUACAAGAAAUAUUUCAUGUUUUAUGAGACAAAAGUCACACUUAUCUUCUAAUCUUGAUUAAUAUAUGAAUAAUUUCUAUUAAACUCUGUUACAAAUUACAAUUCAAUUAAUAAAUUUUAAUUUUUGUAUGAUAUAUAAAUUGCAUGAAAUAUGAGUAAAUAAAUUAUUUUUAAUUAAUACUUGACUCUAUAAGAAGAUUUCAUUUUAUCUUCACAUUUUGAUUUAAGGUGUCUCUCUAAAAUUAAUUGUAAGACUUGAACUGUAUCAUAAAAUCGAUCGAAGAGAAGAAAUUAAACUUCUUGUCAUAACACUC